RNAcentral lists this ribosomal RNA (119 nucleotides) under Pteropus alecto (black flying fox). Lineage: Eukaryota; Metazoa; Chordata; Mammalia; Chiroptera; Pteropodidae. The record is from RNAcentral.
GUCUAUGGCCAUGCCACCCUGAACAAGCCCGAUCCUGUCUGAUCUCAGAAGCUAAGCAGAGUUGGGCCUGGUUAGUACUUGGAUGGGACACCACCUAGGAAGACCAGGUGCUAUAGGCG